RNAcentral lists this unclassified non-coding RNA (363 nucleotides) under Hevea brasiliensis (rubber tree). The record is from RNAcentral. Lineage: Eukaryota; Viridiplantae; Streptophyta; Magnoliopsida; Malpighiales; Euphorbiaceae.
GAAAGUUGUUGGGUUUACCAUUCUUGCAGAAGCAAACCAACCACAGUGGAGAUGGAUAUCUGAAGGAGCACAACCUGAAACACAGGUGUUGAAAAUCUGAACUAUGUACUGUGGGAUACCAGAAGUGGAAUCUCUACUUUGUGAGAUGCUUAUAUCUCUGUUUGUGCAAGUACCAUGAACCAAAAGCUUUCUUUGACUUGGCUGUUGUAGUUUCUUGGAUAGUGUUGUUGAUUGGUUAUUAUUAAUUUCAUCAGAAGAUCGUAAAAACUUGUUUGAAGGACCCGAUUGAAUUCCAAGAUUCCAAUCUGUAAUGAUAAGCAUCAUCAAGUAAAGGAAGCAAAUAUGACAAGAGCUCAUGAUAAC